Non-coding RNA from Coturnix japonica (Japanese quail), 3024 nucleotides. NCBI's taxonomy places the organism in Eukaryota, Metazoa, Chordata, Aves, Galliformes, Phasianidae. The record is from RefSeq and is a predicted model, not a curated record.
CCCGGCGCGGCCACGUUCGGCUGGGGCGGCAGGCGGGCGGGCGCGGCAACGAGCGGCGGCAGCAGCGGGGCCAUGGGGGAGCGGAGCGGGACGGAGCUCUGACAGCACCCGGUGCGCGGCCAAGCGGAGCGGGCACAGCGGCUCGGGAGGGCGGGCCCACACCCAGCUCGGAGCGGAACAUGUUCGCCAAGGGGAAAGGCUCGGCCGUGCCCUCGGACGGGCAGGCGCGGGAGAAGCUGGCCCUGUACGUCUAUGAGUAUCUGCUGCACGUGGGAGCACAGAAAUCCGCUCAGACCUUCCUGUCCGAGAUCCGGUGGGAGAAGAACAUCACGCUGGGAGAACCGCCCGGCUUCCUGCACUCCUGGUGGUGCGUGUUCUGGGACCUGUACUGCGCGGCCCCCGAGCGCCGAGACACUUGCGAGCAUUCGAGCGAAGCGAAAGCCUUCCAUGACUAUAGCGCAGCUGCCGCCCCGAGUCCCGUGCUUGGAAACAUUCCCCCGAACGACGGGAUGCCCGGGGGCCCCAUCCCGCCAGGUUUCUUCCAGGGACCGCCUGGUUCACAGCCCUCGCCACACGCACAGCCUCCACCCCACAACCCUAACAGCAUGAUGGGACCCCACAGUCAGCCUUUCAUGUCACCACGCUACGCAGGAGGUCCCCGGCCCCCCAUCCGGAUGGGAAACCAGCCUCCGGGGGCCGUUCCUGGUACACAGCCAUUGCUGCCCAAUUCGAUGGAUCCCACGCGACAGCAAGGGCACCCGAACAUGGGCGGACCCAUGCAAAGGAUGAAUCCUCCGCGAGGGAUGGGCCCCAUGGGUCCCGGUCCGCAGACUGAUCCUUGGUUAUCGUUGCAGAACUAUGGCAGCGGCAUGAGACCUCCGCCCAACUCCUUAGGCCCCGGCAUGCCCGGAAUUAACAUGGGGCCAGGAGCUGGCAGACCAUGGCCCAACCCCAGCAGUGCUAACUCAAUCCCAUACUCUUCUUCAUCGCCUGGUACAUAUGUGGGUCCUCCAGGAGGUGGAGGGCCACCAGGAACACCCAUCAUGCCUAGCCCAGCAGGUGGGAGCCCACACCCCUCCCUGGGGCCGGCCCUGUUCCCCCCCCCCCCUGCUGGGCUUUGGGGGGAGCGCGGUGCCACAGCUGCAGGGGAGGAGCUGCAGCUCGGCUGUGGCUGCUCCUUCUCCUCCUGCAUUUUGAUGAGGAGCCCUGACCUACAUUUCUGGCUGGGUCCUUACAAAACUCGCUGACCUCGCAGCCAGGCCCCUCCCUCCUGCCCCUGUAUUUUGGGAUAAUCCUGUAUGCGUUCAGAGUCGAUGCUUCUUGGUAUGGGUCGGUGGCUGCACGUUCUCUCUCUGCACAUCCCCCGACAAGUGAGCCCCGCGCUUCGUGAUUCAACAAAUUCAAGUGACAACAUCUACACAAUGAUUAAUCCAGUACCGCCCGCAGGCAGUCGAUCGAAUUUCCCGAUGGGCCCUGGCUCUGACGGCCCCAUGGGUGGCAUGGGUGGCAUGGAGCCCCAUCACAUGAAUGGAUCGUUAGGGUCAGGAGACAUAGAUGGACUUCCAAAAAAUUCUCCAAACAACAUAAGUGGCAUUAGCAAUCCCCCGGGCACUCCAAGAGACGACGGGGAGCUGGGAGGCAACUUUCUCCAUUCCUUCCAAAACGACAAUUAUUCCCCCAGCAUGACGAUGAGUGUGUGAUUUCCCUCCCCCUCCUCCUCUCCAGGAUCAAGAGAGUCAGCUGCCGUUCAGAGGAUCUCAAAGAAUUAUGCAAGAAGAAGCUAGGUGUAUGGGCAGGGAGACGCGUGGCGGGGCCAGCACCCCCAAGGUUUAGUUUCAUGCAAUAAAAAGGCUGAACUUUUUAUUCCAUAAAACAUGAAGGACAAAACUUAAAAUAUUUCAAGACAUGAUGACAAGAUCCUUCUUUGUGCAGAAGGGUUUAUAUAUGUACAUGACACUUCUUUUUGGAAACAAAUGGAAGCCUCUAGCACCCAACUCCGAUCUCUUUGCUUUGUUCUUUUAAAUAAAGACAGAAACAGAACCCCGUUGUAUGUUUGUGCCGUGCGACACCAGGAAGCUAGUCUAGAUAUGGAACCUCAUGUUGUCUCUGUUGUAGUCAUUUUUUAAAUAAACUGGACAGUUUACAAUGGUGGUUUUCGUUCGGAAGGCCUGGUUGGUUUUGUUUUUUGUUUUUUGUUUCUUGGUUUUGUGUUUGUUUUUUGCUUUGGUUUUGUUUCCGUUGCUGUUUUUCCUCCUUUUUUUGUUCCAUUUUUGGGUUCUUUUUGUGCUCGUUGGCAGCACUUCGCUUCCUCCUCCAGUGACGAGAUGAAGAGACUCCACCACCUCGUGAUAAAGGCACUAACACAGGUGGCCCCGUAGGAUCACAUCCUUGGUUCGCUGUGAUCUCCCUCCCCGUGGCUGUGGCAUGCACUGUGUUAGUCCGUCCCCCCUCCCCAGAGUACGCCAAGAACUCUGUCCCUCCCUUCCUCCAGCUGGUUCACCACUAUCACCUCUUUGACUUGUUCAAUCCACCGAAAGAAAGGAGAAGGAAAGGGCCGCUCCGCCCUGGGACUUUGAAGCUGUGAUCUCAGCCAACCUCGGUUCUUUUUUAUUGGGGGGUGGGGAAAGGGAUUUUUUUGCUCGGUCUUUUUUGCUUUGUUAUCCCUUUAAAGAUGUUCUCUUGUCGGGGUUUCACUUCUCUGUGGGUCGGAACUGGAUGGAGAUCUUUUCGAAGCAGUUAACCGUUGUUGCGAUGUAUCCUUGCUACUCUGUACGCUGUCAUAAGGACGCAGCAGGAAGGGGCCCCGUGCUGGGGGUGUGGGGGUGGGGAAUGGGGGGGGGUUACCGUGCAGCCCCCCCCUGCGCUGCUCUUCGUUUCUCUCAAUCUCCAUUUCUGCUCCGUGUAUAUCAUACUAUGUAAAAUAUGAUCUCCCUGGAUUGACCCUUGUGCGGAUUAUUGAAAGCAUUGUAUCUUGUUUCAGUGUUUUUUCUUACCUUGUAGUCUGGUUCUAAAAUACCGAGAGGG